UUCAGGGGACUUACAUCCAACUUCCGUAGAUUUUUCUCUACAUUCUCUAGAGCCACCUGCAGUUGUUUUUCAGAAAUAUCAUACAUUUGAACUUCAUAUCCAGAGCUCGCGAAAAUUGUUGCCCAGCUUGAACCAACUAGGCCGCUGGAAAGAUUAUGGGAUUUCGAAUUUGUGCUUCACCUUUAACUCACAAACCUGCCAACUAUGGCAAUUUUGCCAAAGGGAGACAUGUUGCUGGACAAGAAGACAGUCGUGUGAUGAAUGCCUUUUAUUAACAAUCGGAAUCCUUAUCAUCAUCGUUAUCAUCCGCCGCUAUGGAUCCGUAAUAACAAUAGACGCAGAGAGAGAGAGAACACGACGCUUCUUGUUCUCCAAGGAAAUCUGCGUUGAGGGUACAAGCAGAGAACAAUUUGUUAUCAUUUAUAUAUAAAU
RNAcentral lists this non-coding RNA (432 nucleotides) under Caenorhabditis elegans. The record is from RNAcentral. Lineage: Eukaryota; Metazoa; Nematoda; Chromadorea; Rhabditida; Rhabditidae.